GACGAACGCUGGCGGCGUGCUUAACACAUGCAAGUCGAACGGUGAUGCUCCAGCUUGCUGGAGUGGAUCAGUGGCGAACGGGUGAGUAACACGUGAGCAACCUGCCCCAGACUCUGGAAUAAGCGCUGGAAACGGCGUCUAAUACUGGAUACGAAACUGGCCCGCAUGGGCAUGGUUUGGAAAGUUUUUCGGUUUGGGAUGGGCUCGCGGCCUAUCAGCUUGUUGGUGAGGUAAUGGCUCACCAAGGCGACGACGGGUAGCCGGCCUGAGAGGGCGACCGGCCACACUGGGACUGAGACACGGCCCAGACUCAUACGGGAGGCAGCAGUGGGGAAUAUUGCACAAUGGGCGAAAGCCUGAUGCAGCGACGCCGCGUGAGGGAUGACGGCCUUCGGGUUGUAAACCUCUUUCAGCAGGGAAGAAGCGAAAGUGACGGUACCUGCAGAAGAAGCACCGGCUAACUACGUG
RNAcentral lists this ribosomal RNA (468 nucleotides) under uncultured bacterium. Its description in RNAcentral is "partial 16S ribosomal RNA". It matches the Rfam family "Bacterial small subunit ribosomal RNA", at positions 28 to 507 of the family's 1533-position model. The record is from RNAcentral.